UCCGGUUUGGCACCGGCAGUCUCCCUAGAGUUCCCGGUUUUCCCCUGAUGUCAAGCCCAGGUAAGGUUCUUCGCGUUGCCUCGAAUUAAGCCACAUGCUCCGCCGCUUGUGCGGGUCCCCGUCAAUUCCUUUGAGUUUUAGCCUUGCGGCCGUACUCCCCAGGCGGGGUGCUUAAUGCGUUAGCUGCGGCACGGAUCCCGUCGAUAGGGACCCACACCUAGCACCCAUCGUUUACGGCGUGGACUAC
This 247-nucleotide unclassified non-coding RNA is filed under the name uncultured Actinomycetes bacterium. Its description in RNAcentral is "uncultured actinobacterium contains 16S-23S intergenic spacer region". The record is from RNAcentral. Lineage: Bacteria; Bacillati; Actinomycetota; Actinomycetes.